UACGUAGGUGGCAAGCGUUGUCCGGAUUUAUUGGGCGUAAAGCGCGCGGAGGUGGUUCUUUAAGUCGGAUGUGAAAGCCCCCGGCUCAACCGUGGAGGGUCAUUGGAAACUGGGGAACUUGAGUGCAGGAGAGGAAAGUGGAAUUCCACGUGUAGCGGUGAAAUGCGUAGAGAUGUGGAGGAACACCAGUGGCGAAGGCGGCUUUCUGGUCUGUAACUGACACUGAGGUGCGAAAGCGUGGGGAGCGAACAGG
RNAcentral lists this unclassified non-coding RNA (253 nucleotides) under uncultured Bacillaceae bacterium. RNAcentral describes it as "contains 16S-23S intergenic spacer region". It matches the Rfam family "Bacterial small subunit ribosomal RNA", at positions 524 to 776 of the family's 1533-position model. The record is from RNAcentral. Lineage: Bacteria; Bacillati; Bacillota; Bacilli; Caryophanales; Bacillaceae.